AGCAGAUGAUUAGAUACUUAAAGCCAUGAAGGUUUAGCUUGUCACCAUCAAACACUAGAGAAAAACCACCAGUUUGAUAGUUGGUAAGCAAUAUGCUUGCAAGACCCUGAACCAAUCACCACAACUAAGCAAUAUGCAUGCAACUCCAUUUGAGCUCUCAUUCUGCCUUCAGUUUGAUAGUUGGUUGUGAUUGAAGAUAUUGGGAAUUAGAUUAAGCAACUAUAAACCUACAAGGUGCAGUAGGUUGGAUUACUUGACUAGAAUUGUGGAAUUGUAAUUUUUUACACUUUAGAAACUUGUUUGUAUAUGUACGGAUAUGAAAUAUUGGUUCAGUUAAUAAUGCAUUUGGUGGUGUAUAAUUGGAGGAAGAUUGCUUUUAUUA
Long non-coding RNA from Rosa chinensis, 382 nucleotides. RefSeq lists it as uncharacterized. Lineage: Eukaryota; Viridiplantae; Streptophyta; Magnoliopsida; Rosales; Rosaceae. The record is from RefSeq and is a predicted model, not a curated record. The transcript has 3 exons.